RNAcentral lists this ribosomal RNA (468 nucleotides) under uncultured bacterium. Its description in RNAcentral is "partial 16S ribosomal RNA". It matches the Rfam family "Bacterial small subunit ribosomal RNA", at positions 28 to 507 of the family's 1533-position model. The record is from RNAcentral.
GACGAACGCUGGCGGCGUGCUUAACACAUGCAAGUCGAACGGAAAGGCCCUGCUUUUGUGGGGUGCUCGAGUGGCGAACGGGUGAGUAACACGUGAGUAACCUGCCCUUGACUUUGGGAUAACUUCAGGAAACUGGGGCUAAUACCGGAUAGGAGCUCCUGCUGCAUGGUGGGGGUUGGAAAUUUUAGGCGGUUGGGGAUGGACUCGCGGCUUAUCAGCUUGUUGGUGGGGUAGUGGCUUACCAAGGCUUUGACGGGUAGCCGGCCUGAGAGGGUGACCGGCCACAUUGGGACUGAGAUACGGACCAGACUCCUACGGGAGGCAGCAGUGGGGAAUAUUGCACAAUGGGCGGAAGCCUGAUGCAGAAACGCCGCGUGCGGGAUGACGGCUUUCGGGUUGUAAACCGCUGUAGCCUGUGACGAAGCGUGAGUGACGGUAAUGGGUAAAGAAGCACCGGCUAACUACGUG